UACGUAGGGUGCGAGCGUUGUCCGGAAUUACUGGGCGUAAAGAGCUCGUAGGUGGUUUGUCGCGUUGUUCGUGAAAACUCACAACUCAAUUGUGGGCGUGCGGGCGAUACGGGCAGACUGGAGUACUGCAGGGGAGACUGGAAUUCCUGGUGUAGCGGUGGAAUGCGCAGAUAUCAGGAGGAACACCGGUGGCGAAGGCGGAUCUCUGGGCCAUUACUGACGCUGAGGAGCGAAAGCGUGGGGAGCGAACAGG
RNAcentral lists this ribosomal RNA (253 nucleotides) under uncultured bacterium. RNAcentral describes it as "partial 16S ribosomal RNA". It matches the Rfam family "Bacterial small subunit ribosomal RNA", at positions 524 to 776 of the family's 1533-position model. The record is from RNAcentral.